This 253-nucleotide ribosomal RNA is filed under the name uncultured bacterium. RNAcentral's name for it is "partial 16S ribosomal RNA". It matches the Rfam family "Bacterial small subunit ribosomal RNA", at positions 524 to 776 of the family's 1533-position model. The record is from RNAcentral.
UACGUAGGGGGCAAGCGUUGUCCGGAUUUACUGGGUGUAAAGGGCGCGUAGGCGGGUUGGCAAGUCAGAGGUGAAAUCCUACAGCUUAACUGUAGAACUGCCUUUGAUACUGCUGAUCUUGAGUGCGGAAGAGAGAGACGGAAUUCCAGGUGUAGUGGUGAAAUACGUAGAUAUCUGGAAGAACACCAGUUGCGAAGGCGGUCUCUUGGUCCGUAACUGACGCUCAGGCGCGAAAGCGUGGGGAGCAAACAGG